UAGAGUGUUUAACUCCCUAUAAACCCCUGUGAACAUACCUAUCGUUGCUUCGGCGGAACGCCCCCGGGUACCCCCCGGGACCAAGGCGCCCGCCGAGGGAAUCUUAAACUCUUGUUUUUUCGAGAAUCUUCUGAGUAAAACAAAAAAUAAAUCA
RNAcentral lists this unclassified non-coding RNA (154 nucleotides) under uncultured Hypocreales. RNAcentral describes it as "sequence contains ITS1". Lineage: Eukaryota; Fungi; Ascomycota; Sordariomycetes; Hypocreales. The record is from RNAcentral.